This 574-nucleotide ribosomal RNA is filed under the name Xylographa carneopallida. RNAcentral's name for it is "SSU rRNA". It matches the Rfam family "Bacterial small subunit ribosomal RNA", at positions 399 to 1002 of the family's 1533-position model. The record is from RNAcentral. Lineage: Eukaryota; Fungi; Ascomycota; Lecanoromycetes; Baeomycetales; Xylographaceae.
GUUAGUACGAGAUCGACUAUGUCGAAUAAAGUUCUAGGUAGAGUUAUGAUAAUGACAUUUUCUAUCUAUAUGUCUUGACCAAAUCACGUGCCAGCAGUCGCGGUAAUACGUGGAAGACUAGUGUUAUUCAUCUUUAAUUGGUUUAAAGGGUACCUAGACGGUCUAUUAAGCCCCUAAAGGGUACUUACGGACUAGAGUUUGAUGAGAGGGGGGAAGUACAAGAGAGUGUAGAGAUGAAAUUCUGUCAUACCUUACUUGGAACAGGCAACGGCGAAAGCAACUCCUUAUGUAAAAACUGACGUUGAAGGACGAAGGCUUGGGACACCAACAGGAUUAGAUACCCCAGCAGUCCUUGCAGACAAUGAUGAAUGUCAUAGAUUGGAAUUAAAUAUCUUUUUUUUUAAGAUAUCUUUUUGUCUAUAAAUGAAAGUGUAAGCAUUCCACCUCAAGAGUAAUGUGGCAACGCAGAAACUGAAAUCAUUAGACCGUUUCUGAAACCAGUAGUGAAGUAUGUUGUUUAAUUUGGUGGCCCGCAAAACACCUUACCACAAUUUGAAUAUUUUUAUAUUUAUAA